GACGAACGCUGGCGGCGUGCUUAACACAUGCAAGUCGAACGGAAAGGCCAUGCUUUUGUGCGGUGCUCGAGUGCCGAACGGGUGCGUAACACGCGAGUAACCCGCACUUGACUUUCGGAUAACUUCAGGAAACUGGGGCUAAUAUCGGAUAGGAGCUCUUGCUCCACGGUGUGGGUUAGAAAGUUUCGGCGGUUGGGGAUCGACUAGCGGCUUCUCAGCUAGUUGGUGUGGUUGUGGCUGACCAAGUCUUUGACGGGUAGCCGGCCUGGGCGGGUGACCGGGCACAGUGGGACUGAGAUAGGGACCAGAAUGCAAUGGGAGGCAGCAGUGGGGAAUAUUGCGGAAUAAGCGGAAGCCUGAGGCAGCAGUGCCGCGUGCGGGAGGACGGCUUACGGGUGGAAAACCGAUGUCGCAUGUGACAAAGAGUGAGUGACGGUAACGGGUAAAGAAGCAACGGCUAACUACGUG
This 468-nucleotide ribosomal RNA is filed under the name uncultured bacterium. RNAcentral describes it as "partial 16S ribosomal RNA". It matches the Rfam family "Bacterial small subunit ribosomal RNA", at positions 28 to 507 of the family's 1533-position model. The record is from RNAcentral.